AAUGAACGUUGGCGGCGUGGAUUAGGCAUGCAAGUCGAGCGAGAACCCGCAAGGGGGACAGCGGCAAACGGGGUAGGAAUGAUUGGUGACGUACCCUCGGGACGGGGAUAGCCACGGGAAACUGUGGGUAAUACCCGAUAAUCUCCCAGGUUUGAAGACCUGGGUGCAAAGGUGUGAUUCCACCGGAGGAGCGGCCAAUCUGGUAUUAGCUAGUUGGUAGGGUAACGGCCUACCAAGACUACGAUGCCUAGGGGGUGUGAGAGCAUGGCCCCCACCACUGGGACUGAGAUACUGCCCAGACACCUACGGGUGGCUGCAGUCGAGAAUCUUCGGCGAUGGGCGAAAGCCUGACCGAGCGACGCCGCGUGCGGGAUGAAGGCCUUCGGGUUGUAAACCGCUGUCAGAGGGGAUGAAGUUAUAGGAGGUUCUCCUUCUAUAUUGACAGAGCCUCAGAGGAAGCACGGGCUAAGUAUGUGCCAGCCGCCGCCGUAA
Molecule: ribosomal RNA, 492 nt
Filed under: uncultured bacterium
Lineage: Bacteria
Description: partial 16S ribosomal RNA
Rfam family: Bacterial small subunit ribosomal RNA
Source: RNAcentral